CGCAGCAAAAUGCGAUAAGUAAUGUGAAUUGCAGAAUUCAGUGAAUCAUCGAAUCUUUGAACGCACAUUGCGCCCGCCAGUAUUCUGGCGGGCAUGCCUGUUCGAGCGUCAUUUCAACCCUCAAGCUCAGCUUGGUGUUGGGACUCGCGGUAACCCGCGUUCCCCAAAUCGAUUGGCGGUCACGUCGAGCUUCCAUAGCGUAGUAAUCAUACACCUCGUUACUGGUAAUCGUCGCGGCCACGCCGUAAAACCCCAACUUCUGAAUGUUGACCUCGGAUCAGGUAGGAAUACCCGCUGAACUUAAGCAUAUCAAUAAGCGGAGGA
Molecule: ribosomal RNA, 324 nt
Filed under: Fusarium camptoceras
Lineage: Eukaryota; Fungi; Ascomycota; Sordariomycetes; Hypocreales; Nectriaceae
Also listed under: 1 other name
Description: eukaryotic LSU rRNA
Rfam family: 5.8S ribosomal RNA (bases 1-111)
Source: RNAcentral